RNAcentral lists this ribosomal RNA (256 nucleotides) under uncultured bacterium. Its description in RNAcentral is "partial 16S ribosomal RNA". It matches the Rfam family "Bacterial small subunit ribosomal RNA", at positions 521 to 776 of the family's 1533-position model. The record is from RNAcentral.
UAAUACAGAGGGUGCGAGCGUUGUUCGGAAUUACUGGGCGUAAAGCGUGUGUAGGCGGCUUAUUAAGCUUGAUGUGAAAUCUUUGGGCUUAACCCAAAAACUGCAUCGAGAACUGGUAAGCUAGAGUCUAGGAGAGGGCAGUGGAAUUCCUGGUGUAGAGGUGAAAUUCGUAGAUAUCAGGAGGAACACCGGUGGCGAAGGCGGCUGCCUGGACUAGUACUGACGCUGAGACACGAAAGCGUGGGGAGCAAACAGG